AUUGAACGCUGGCGGCAGGCCUAACACAUGCAAGUCGAACGGUAACAGGAAACAGCUUGCUGUUUCGCUGACGAGUGGCGGACGGGUGAGUAAUGUCUGGGAAACUGCCUGAUGGAGGGGGAUAACUACUGGAAACGGUAGCUAAUACCGCAUAACGUCGCAAGACCAAAGAGGGGGACCCUCGGGCCUCUUGCCAUCGGAUGUGCCCAGAUGGGAUUAGCUUGUUGGUGGGGUAACGGCUCACCAAGGCGACUAUCCCUAGCUGGUCUGAGAGGAUGACCAGCCACACUGGAACUGAGACACGGUCCAGACGCCUACGGGAGGCAGCAGUGGGGAAUAUUGCACAAUGGGCGCAAGCCUGAUGCAGCCAUGCCGCGUGUAUGAAGAAGGCCUUCGGGUUGUAAAGUACUUUCAGCGGGGAGGAAGGGAGUAAAGUUAAUACCUUUGCUCAUUGACGUUACCCGCAGAAGAAGCACCGGCUAACUCCGUG
Molecule: ribosomal RNA, 490 nt
Filed under: uncultured bacterium
Lineage: Bacteria
Description: partial 16S ribosomal RNA
Rfam family: Bacterial small subunit ribosomal RNA
Source: RNAcentral